Molecule: ribosomal RNA, 301 nt
Filed under: uncultured bacterium
Lineage: Bacteria
Description: partial 16S ribosomal RNA
Rfam family: Bacterial small subunit ribosomal RNA
Source: RNAcentral
CAGUCGCCGCGGGAAUACGAAGGGUGCAAGCGUUAAUCGGAAUUACUGGGCGUAAAGCGUGCGUAGGCGGUUUGUUAAGUCUGCUGUGAAAUCCCCGGGCUCAACCUGGGAAUGGCAGUGGAUACUGGCAAGCUAGAGUGUGUCAGAGGAUGGUGGAAUUCCCGGUGUAGCGGUGAAAUGCGUAGAGAUCGGGAGGAACAUCAGUGGCGAAGGCGGCUCACUGGACAAUAACUGACGCUGAUGCACGAAAGCUAGGGGAGCAAACAGGAUUAGAUACCCGAGUAGUCCCUGUCUCUUAUAC